AGUGUUGCUCUCCCCAUGUUAACCAGUAUUUAGAGCGGCUCAACCAAUUUUGCCAAAUGCAUCUUUUUGACCCCCAGUUGGUUUCCACUGUGAUGCCUGCAAACACUUCAGCUUUUGUCCCACCGUAUCUUAAAGACUGUAUGGCACCUGGCAGAGGUGGAGGUAACUCAUCUAGAGCCAGGUAUGGGAGAAAGAAGACUCUGGAUGAGAGCGAGAAGCCAAAGAGCAAGCAGUAAUCUACUGAGCAUCUCCACUGCGCCCUGCCCUGUGCUGAGAGCCUGGUGCAGUGUUCAUGAAAAGUAACAGCUGCUCGCGUAGGAGCUGGUGUUUUAGCCAGAAAACUAAGUAAUCAAAUAACUGACUUAAUGUGACAAGGAAUCUCAAAAGGUUUGGUUUGGGGUGUUCUAAGGGACAAAAUAGAUAUUUGUUUUUCCAGCUUUGGCAUAAAAUGGCUUAUUUUUCUGAAGUGCAAAUACAUAUCUUGUAUUUGGUUAUAAAAAUAAAUAUGCUAAUUAUAAGGGUCAAACAUUACAGAAAAUUAUAAAGGAGGAAUAAAAUAUAACAUAAAUCGUACCAUUCAAAGACUACCCUGUUGUAAAUGCUAAUGUCUAUUUCUUUCUACAUAUGUUCACGCAGUUUUGCAAAAAUGGACUCAAACCAUGUCUGAAACUUUGACCUCUUCUGGGCCCACUGAACAGUUUCUAUGGCCAUCGCUGUAUUUGAUGGCUGUUGACUGACAUCAUCACAUGUAAAGGCUGGGUGACAUCGUAUAGCAGUAGCGUUAUUCACUUCAGCCAUCCGGUCACGAAGUGCUAUGCCAUGCAGGGCCCCUGGCGAGGAGGCCCUGCUUGUUGUGGCUCCCUGGCUUGCAGACAUCCGGGCUGUGCAGAAAACUUGUAUUUCUGAGUAGGUGUCUCGUCACCUCAUCUCUCUUUUUAUUUCAGAAAGGACCCAUCGUGUAUGCCAGCCCUUUCACCAGAUUUAGCCCCUCAUAAAUAUUGAAAACGUGCUGAUAAUUGUCAGAGAAAUGUGUACUUAGAGUUGACUGAUAAAAUUUUAUCAUAUGUCCACAAACUAUUCCGUCAAGCACGCCCAUAGAUUGGGAAUAAAACAAAGUAUGAAUUGUGUUGUAAAUUAUGGUUGUAUAGACUAAAUUUAGAAGUGGUAAAUGGCCUUUACUGAGCAUGCUUAUAGUGUAAAAUGCUGUUAUGGAUGUUGGCAAGCUUAAUAAUGCUCUACCACAAGAUGAAAACUAAUUUGAAUUAUAUUCUUCAUCCAAAAGUAAAAGUGUGUUAGAAUCCUAGAGUUGAGAGAGAUGCAAAUUUAGAAGUAUAGAUACUUUGCUUUGUUAGAUUAUUCAUAUUAUUUAUAAUAGUUUUAUAUAAGUUCUUCUUUAGUGAAUAAAUGAAGAGGUGAAUCAUUCCUUAUCAUACUUUGGCACCUGGAUUUAGUUGAAAAAAUAAAAAAAACCGGAGGGACAGAAGCAGCCUAUUUAUUCUAAGGAGGAAGUAAAAUAAGGAUUUCUGUUCAAAAGUUACCUUAGCCACUAUUCUGCAAAUGACUUGCCCUAUUUACACUGUUAAAAGGCAGACUGUCAGGGACA
Long non-coding RNA from Phyllostomus discolor (pale spear-nosed bat), 1603 nucleotides. RefSeq lists it as uncharacterized. The transcript has 2 exons. NCBI's taxonomy places the organism in Eukaryota, Metazoa, Chordata, Mammalia, Chiroptera, Phyllostomidae. The record is from RefSeq and is a predicted model, not a curated record.